ACAGCCAUAUUAUAUUGAAACACUGGCUCCCAUACGAUCACUGAAGUUAAGCAAUGUUGAGCUAGGUCAGUAACUAGAUGGGUGACACUUUGGAAUUUCAGGUACUGUAAG
Molecule: non-coding RNA, 111 nt
Organism: Acanthosepion pharaonis
Lineage: Eukaryota; Metazoa; Mollusca; Cephalopoda; Sepiida; Sepiidae
Source: the annotation of a GenBank genome assembly